Molecule: long non-coding RNA, 709 nt
Filed under: Neodiprion pinetum (white pine sawfly)
Lineage: Eukaryota; Metazoa; Arthropoda; Insecta; Hymenoptera; Diprionidae
Description: uncharacterized LOC124215181
Source: RNAcentral
CAGUAGCGCCACAUAGGAAUCUUCGAAAUUCAAUUCACCCUCCGGCGGACAAAGGAUUUUUGAACAUUUUUUUAGGUCUCAGGUUUGCCCGUAAUCAUCCAAGGUCAUAAACAAAUUAUACCAAAAACGAACAACCGCGAGAUUAAGAACGUCGAUCAAUUCCCGCAAAGUGGUGCAGAAUCGGGAUAACCAUUACCUUGCAUUUUUCGCCACGUAGAAGUAUCUGAUAAAUCGAACAGCUUAAAGCGUUGAUUUAAAAUAUUGAAACCCGAGAUAGAUGGUCUCGAAUUUCAAACGUCCUCGCCACCACUACCACCACAACCACCGCCGUCGUCGUGGUCGUCAUCAGGAUAACUACGCAUGGCUUGAAAAGACCUCCCUGUUAUCCGACUGUUGCGAGUUAUACAACGCAGGAGGGUGUAAGUGUCUAAUAAAAACCUAGACAACGUACGGAGCGGAAUGACAAAGAUUAGAGAGAGAGAGAGCCGGAGAGGGAGAGGGAGGGAGGGAGGAGAGAGAGAGAGAAGAGCGAGCGAGAGAGAGUACACCCGACGUUUAAACGGUUGUUCAAUAAAAUAUCGAAAAUGCCAGGGUUACAAACGAUAUAAAUCCUUGUCACGUGAUCGGCAUGCAUACUUGAUUACAUACCUACAUUACGAAAGAAUCGUCAAGGUAUCAGGGAAUUGAUAAAAACAGGUGAGGGCGAAAU